GCAUCUGUAGUUCAACUGGAUAGAAUACAGGACUCCGGAUCCUGAGGUUGCCGGUUCGAACCCGGUCAGAUGCA
This 74-nucleotide transfer RNA is filed under the name Candidatus Delongbacteria bacterium. RNAcentral describes it as "tRNA-Arg". It matches the Rfam family "tRNA". Rfam says of the family: Transfer RNA (tRNA) molecules are approximately 80 nucleotides in length. The record is from RNAcentral. Lineage: Bacteria; Candidatus Delongiibacteriota. RNAcentral also lists the same sequence under 1 other name.